This 293-nucleotide ribosomal RNA is filed under the name uncultured bacterium. Its description in RNAcentral is "partial 16S ribosomal RNA". It matches the Rfam family "Bacterial small subunit ribosomal RNA", at positions 773 to 1060 of the family's 1533-position model. The record is from RNAcentral.
GUGGAUUAGAUACCCUGGUAGUCCACACCGUAAACGAUGGAUACUAGGUGUGCGGGGACUGACCCCCUGCGUGCCGCAGUUAACACAAUAAGUAUCCCACCUGGGGAGUACGAUCGCAAGAUUGAAACUCAAAGGAAUUGACGGGCACCCGCACAAGUAGUGGAGUAUGUUCAUUAAUUCGACGCAACGCGAAGAACCUUACCAGGGUUUGACAUCCUGCUAACGAAGUAGAGAUACAUUAGGUGCCCCUUCGGGGGAAAGCAGAGACAGGUGGUGCACGGUCGUCGCCAACU